Molecule: ribosomal RNA, 355 nt
Filed under: Hispanognatha guttata
Lineage: Eukaryota; Metazoa; Arthropoda; Arachnida; Araneae; Tetragnathidae
Description: SSU rRNA
Rfam family: Eukaryotic small subunit ribosomal RNA
Source: RNAcentral
UCAGAUACCGCCCUAGUUCUGACCAUAAACGAUGCCAGCCAGCGAUCCGGCUGCGUUCCUCAAAUGACGCGCCGGGCAGCUUCCGGGAAACCAAAGCUUUUGGGUUCCGGGGGGAGUAUGGUUGCAAAGCUGAAACUUAAAGGAAUUGACGGAAGCGCACACAAGAAAUGGGGCCUGCGGCUUAAUUUGACUCAACACGGUGCAACUCACCCGGCCCGGACACAGGAAGGAUUGACAGAUUAAGAGCUCUUUCUUGAUUCUGUGACAGGUGGUGCAUGGCCGUGUCUAGUUGGUGGAGUGAUUUGUCUGCUUUAUUGCGAUAACGAGCGAGACUCUAGCCUACUAAAUAGACCGC